RNAcentral lists this ribosomal RNA (699 nucleotides) under Candidatus Segetimicrobium genomatis. RNAcentral describes it as "bacterial SSU rRNA". It matches the Rfam family "Bacterial small subunit ribosomal RNA", at positions 1 to 698 of the family's 1533-position model. Lineage: Bacteria; Bacillati; Candidatus Sysuimicrobiota; Candidatus Sysuimicrobiia; Candidatus Sysuimicrobiales; Candidatus Segetimicrobiaceae. The record is from RNAcentral.
CAAUGGAGAGUUUGAUCCUGGCUCAGGACGAACGCUGGCGGCGUGCCUCAAACAUGCAAGUCGAGCGUGGGUGGGCUGCCUCGCAAGAGGUGGCUCACUCUAGCGGCGAACGGGUGCGUAACACGUGGGAAACCAACCCUCCAGAUGGGGACAACCUCGGGAAACCGGGGCUAAUACCGAAUGCGCUCGCCGGGUCGCAUGGUCUGGCGAGGAAAGGGUCGUAAGAUCGCUGGAGGACGGUCCCGCGGCCUAUCAGCUUGUUGGCGGGGUAACGGCCCACCAAGGCGAUGACGGGUAGCUGGCCUGAGAGGGUGGUCAGCCACACUGGAACUGAGACACGGUCCAGACUCCUACGGGAGGCAGCAGUUGGGAAUCUUGGGCAAUGGGCGCAAGCCUGACCCAGCGACGCCGCGUGGGGGAUGAAGGCCUUCGGGUUGUAAACCCCUGUCAGGAGGGACGAAGCCGCAAGGUGACGGUACCUCCAGAGGAAGCCCCGGCUAACUACGUGCCAGCAGCCGCGGUAAGACGUAGGGGGCGAGCGUUGUCCGGAAUUACUGGGCGUAAAGCGCGUGCAGGCGGCCUGGUCAGUCCCGUGUGAAAGCCUACGGCUCAACUGUAGGAGGUCGCGGGAUACUGCCGGGCUCGAGGGCAGGAGAGGGAAGUAGAAUUCCCGGUGUAGCGGUGAAAUGCGUAGAUAUC